UGAUCAGCCGUACUCCGAAUGCUCUAGAGUUAAAGUUUGAUCAUGGCUCAGACNUGAACGCUUACGUGCAGGCUUAACACAUGCAAGUCGAGCGGGAAGGGUAGCUUGCUACCAGACCUAGCGGCGUGACGUGGUGAGUAAUGCUUAGGAAUCUGCCUAUUAGUGGGGGACAACAUCUCGAAAGGGAUGCUAAUACCGCAUACGUCCUACGGGAGAAAGCAGGGGGAUCUUCGGACCUUGCGCUAAUAGAUGAGCCUAAGUCGGAUUAGCUAGUUGGUGGGGUAAAGGCCUACCAAGGCGACGAUCUUGUAAGCGGGUCUGAGAGGAUGAUCCGCACACUGGGACUUGAGACACGGGGCCCCCAGGAAACUUCCCCUUUAACGGGGGAAGGGGCAANGGCA
RNAcentral lists this ribosomal RNA (401 nucleotides) under uncultured bacterium. Its description in RNAcentral is "bacterial SSU rRNA". It matches the Rfam family "Bacterial small subunit ribosomal RNA", at positions 1 to 350 of the family's 1533-position model. The record is from RNAcentral.